CAGAGGGGGCAAGCGUUGUUCGGAAUUACUGGGCGUAAAGGGCGCGUAGGUGGCCUUCUAAGUUGAACGUGAAAUCCCUGGGCUCAACCCAGGAACUGCGUCCAAGACUGGGAGGCUUGAAUCCGGGAGAGGGAUGCGGAAUUCCAGGUGUAGCGGUGAAAUGCGUAGAUAUCUGGAGGAACACCGGUGGCGAAGGCGGCAUCCUGGACCGGUAUUGACACUGAGGCGCGAAAGCCAGGGGAGCAAACGGGAUUAGAUACCCCGGUAGUCCUGGCCCUAAACGAUGAAUGCUUGGUGUGGCGGGUAUCGAUCCCUGCCGUGCCGAAGCUAACGCAUUAAGCAUUCCGCCUGGGGAGUACGGUCGCAAGGCUG
This 372-nucleotide ribosomal RNA is filed under the name uncultured organism. RNAcentral describes it as "bacterial SSU rRNA". It matches the Rfam family "Bacterial small subunit ribosomal RNA", at positions 526 to 896 of the family's 1533-position model. The record is from RNAcentral.